GAAUAAAAGCUGUAGUUGAACUCAAAGUGCAGAGGGGUCUUUUGCGAAAGAGGAGAGGGCGCGGGGCCGAGCCUUGGCGUUUUGUGCAUGCUAAAAGCUUUGCCUUGUGAUUUUCGCCUCAAGUUUUGUUUCCGAUGAGGAAGGAAGAGGUUAAUCACUCGAAGCUCUGUAACAAGAAACAACAAUUCAGCCGCUCACGGUGAUCAGAGGUAAGCAUCGAGUGCGAACUGAGACAUCAGUAGGCCAGCCUCCUUCAAUAACUUGGAGGACUGCGUGCGAAUUCUUGCUGUAUUCUUGAGUUCCUUUCCUGAAAAUGAACUCUCUAUCUUUAAUCAUGUCCACCGCGUGUGUUCUGUUACGUGAAUGUUGUUUUACUCGGAAGCAAUAUGUACGAUGAACUCGUCUGUUGCAUUGGAAACCCAUAGUACAAGUACAAAUGGAACAUUUUUUUUUUGCUUUUUUGUUUGAUUUAGUUUGGUUAAACGAUCCAUGAGUUUAUUCUUGAUCCUUAUUUGUGUGAAAAAUGGAUGUAUAACAAGUAGUUUAUUGAUUUCAAUCUUAGAAGUAGAGUAGAGUGUGUAGUUCAAAUUACUACAGACUGUAACGAAUAUCUUGAUAUACUGGAUAAGGCUUUACGUCAACUCAUUAGGGAUAACUCUACAAUUCGAGCCAGCAUUAUCGGUGAAUAGCGAUCAAGAUAGUUAGGUAAAAACUAGUCUUCGAGAUUAAAAGACGAGAUGUGGGCUAGUCCACCGAAUGCUCAACCUUAGAGAUGUACAUGCUACCAUGGUCUCUCGUUUCUAUCAUCAUUCAUGUCAUCCUUAUCACUCUCCCCCAAAUCUCAAUAGUCUCUCUUUCGAGCAAACGUUUUUCGCAUUUCCCCAUAGAGUUUCCCCAAACCCCUUACCAAACACAACAGCACCUUCUAAAGUCUAGCACGCAGGAGCUCCCAAAACAUUCGUUUGACUUUCAACAUUGUAGAACCAACCCGGCAAGAAGUUGACCAAGUGGACCCGAUAGCACAAACUCUACUACGGUAUUAUGACCAGUAACGGCCACUCCACCGUAUUGGCCCAAGCACAGCAUAGCCCAUCGCCUUCCAAGCCUAGUUGGGACUAGGCCAUUCCCUUGGGCCCAAACAGGCUAGCCUAGAAAUUACCCCAAUUUUUUUCAAAGAUCUCAAUCGCAUUUAAAAACUGAUUAAUAUAAAAAAAAAAAACCAAAACUGGUACACAUGCUAUAAAUCUAUACCAAACUAAUUUUUUUAUUGUCAAUGACUCCAAACUAGUGCAUUUAUAAUAAAUUUGUGAAAAAUUUACUCUCAAUUUUCAUUAAAUUAGAUUAAUAUCAUAAAAAACUAUCAAACAGGUACAUCUGUGAUAAAUAGAAGGUAAAACCCUAGAUUGGUACACUCAUCAAUUUCCACGUAUCAUCUGACUCAGUAAUUUCACAAUAAAAUUUAAUGAAAACUAACGGGGGUAAAUUUGUCAUGAAUGUAGUAAUUUAAAGUUUUUUAUGUUAAAAAAAAUUAAGUUUUUAUAAAUUUUUCACAAUUGAACUAAUUUUGAUUUUUUUUCAUAACAUUAACACUUUAAGAAAAACAAAAUGAUGUGACAGAAUGUGAUCGUUCGACCACACCAAAAAAAAAAGAACUCCUACAACUGUAAUUCCUCCUUCAUCAUCGCCUCCAUCCAAUUCUCAUUACUUACCACUCUCUUACAAUUCCUAAAAAAAUCUCGAAUUCUACAUACGGCAUUUCAAAUUUCCGAGUACGCGACAGACCCAAUUCAGCUACAUUAACCAACUCAAUUCCCAGACCCAGACCUCCGACUACGAAGAGUAACCUACUCCAACCAAUACUGGGUAGUCUUUGUGUUGGAAGGUCCAAGAUUUGGCGAAUGUUCAGCAUCGAGGUCCUCCCCAGUGGCGGGAAGAAGGCCAUUUACAUGGCGUGGGGUGUGAAAUUACCUGCAAAAUCUAGUGGCUACACAGGCCACAUGAAGAGGUGCUAAGAGAAUUAUCUCCCUGAAAUGGCCAAGCCCAAGGGGAGGUCCACCGCCGUUGCAACAGGCCACGAUAGUAGUCCGUUCAAGUACAACAAUGCUCAGGCUCAAUGCCCAAAUCAACAAUAUAGACUCCAGGCCGAGGUAGCAUUUGGGUACACCCAAGAUCCAGGGUUCGUUGAGUUCGUCAAGUGGCGUUCGGUCAAAUUACAAAUGCAUUACAAGGACCACGAAUACUGGGAAAUACAAGGGUCUACACAAGGAGAAAUGAGCAAAGUCGGUGCAGCUGCUAUCCAUAGAUAACUUUUAAGUGUCAUUGACUUCGAACUUGGGGACUAACCUGAAGGACCGUGGUUAUUUUUGUGUGCUAGAAAGGGUCAUAUUGGUUACUACAUCACCGAACUUUGUUGUUUAAGCAUCCACAUCGCCACAAAUUACAAAAUAUUUGUGUGGAAAUUAUGAGAUCAGUGAAAGACUUUGGCAUUAGGGAGAAAGCAUUUUCCAUUACUUAGGAUAAAGCCUAUGUAACAAUGUGAUUGCUAGGAACAUGGUCGCCCAGAUGUGGCUAGUUUGCAAUGGCCAAUUCUUCCGUGUAUGCUGCAUAGUGCGGUGUUACCAAUCUUUGUGCACAACAUAGUCUUAGGCCCCGUUUGGUUCAGCUUUCCCAAGGGGCUUUGUGCCCCCAAAGCCCCUUGGGGAAAAUUUUUUGCAUUUGGUUUGGCUUUUCAAGUCUCCAUUGAGCAUUUGGAAUGCUGAAAGCCCAAAGCAGGUCUGGACCUGCUUUGGGCUUUCAGCAUUUUCGGAAAUGCUAGUCUAGGGUUUAAUGAAUUUUUUCUUUCCAAUAUUGCCCUUAUUGAUAUUUAUGUUUUCCUUUUUUGCCCUUGAAAAAUAUUGUUUAUCGUCUUCUUCCUUCUUCCUCACAAAGCUUAACCGGUGAGCGGCCAAAUCUGGCCGUCGGGAAGCCUCGCCUGAGGUCGCACGACCUCAGGCGAGGUGGCUUGAGGUCAAGCGACCUUGGGCGUCGCCUAGGUCGCGCAACCCAGGCGGUGUCUCCUGGGUUGCUCGACCUCAAGCAGCGUCGCCUGAGGCCGCGUGACCUCAGGCGACGCCCUGGGUCGCGCCUGAGGUUGAGCGACCCAGGCGACGGUGGCACUCAACACCCCCAAAAAACGACGGCGAGAAAAUCUUUCCAGAAACCCGCGACGAUCAGAAGAAGAUGACGAUGACCGUGAGUUCAAAAGCGCGCUACCUAGAGGCCGGAGAAGGAUCGGAGGGAGAAAUUGACCCAGGCGAUGUCGCCUGAGGUCGCGCGGCCUCAGGCAGAGUCGCCUAAGGCUGCUCGACUCAGGCGGCGUCGCUUGAGGCCGCUCGACUCAGGCAUCGCCUGGGUCGCAUGACCUAGGGUGUCGCCUGAGGUCGGCGACCUGAGGCGAACCGCCUUCCCCCACUGCCACCGCCACCGCCACCACCACCACCACCAGCCGCCUCUCCAUCACCACCAGCCGCCUCCCCACCACCACCAGCCCCACUGCCGAGCAGCUGCAUCUCCUCCUCCCUUUUCUUUUCCUUUCUUUUUUCCCUUUUUCUUUUCACCUCAAAACUACUUUGCAAAAUAUAUACAAAAAUGAGUUCCCAAACACACUUUGCAUUCCCCAAAUGUCCAUUCACUCAAGGAUACUUGGGGAAAUGCAAAGCCAUUUCCCCAAAGUUGAACCAAACGGGCCUUAGACUCUUAAAGAUUUUUGUGAUUCUUCUGUAAGUCGUAUAAGCUGGUGGGUUCACUACCUAGGUUCCACCCCCUUUAAGGGUUCAAGAUAUGGAGACGAUGUGCGCGGAAUGCGGAAGGGAGCCCCAAAAAAGCUCCCUCAGAUGUCAAAAUUAGCUGGAAUUCCACCUAUCUGAUGUUGCAGAAGGCCUGAAUUCAGAUGGAUGUCUUGACCUCGUUUUCUUUCCAUUAUUACAGGUUGAUUGGAGGGUUGCCAAACGAUUCAAGCACCUCCUGGAGGUGUUCAACGACGCCACAGAUGUGCACUAAAAAGACAUCAGGCUCUACCAGAAAGUUUAUUAAAUAAAA
This 4077-nucleotide long non-coding RNA is filed under the name Eucalyptus grandis. Its description in RNAcentral is "long non-coding RNA (EGRA_LNC000535)". The record is from RNAcentral. Lineage: Eukaryota; Viridiplantae; Streptophyta; Magnoliopsida; Myrtales; Myrtaceae.